Molecule: ribosomal RNA, 439 nt
Filed under: uncultured bacterium
Lineage: Bacteria
Description: bacterial SSU rRNA
Rfam family: Bacterial small subunit ribosomal RNA
Source: RNAcentral
GCAUAACGCGAAGAACCUUACCAGGCCUUGACAUGCAGAGAACUUUCCAGAGAUGGAUUGGUGCCUUCGGGAACUCUGACACAGGUGCUGCAUGGCUGUCGUCAGCUCGUGUCGUGAGAUGUUGGGUUAAGUCCCGUAACGAGCGCAACCCUUGUCCUUAGUUACCAGCACGUCAUGGUGGGCACUCUAAGGAGACUGCCGGUGACAAACCGGAGGAAGGUGGGGAUGACGUCGAGUCAUCAUGGCCCUUACGGCCAGGGCUACACACGUGCUACAAUGGUCGGUACAAAGGGUUGCCAAGCCGCGAGGUGGAGCUAAUCCCAUAAAACCGAUCGUAGUCCGGAUCGCAGUCUGCAACUCGACUGCGUGAAGUCGGAAUCGCUAGUAAUCGCGAAUCAGAAUGUCGCGGUGAAUACGUUCCCGGGUCUUGUACACACCG